This 200-nucleotide ribosomal RNA is filed under the name uncultured bacterium. RNAcentral's name for it is "partial 16S ribosomal RNA". It matches the Rfam family "Bacterial small subunit ribosomal RNA", at positions 8 to 221 of the family's 1533-position model. The record is from RNAcentral.
AGAGUUUGAUCCUGGCUCAGAAUGAACGCUGGCGGCGUGCCUAACACAUGCAAGUCGAGCGAGAAAGGUCUUCGGACUGAGUAAAGCGGCGAACGGGUGAGUAACGCGUAGGAAUCUGCCUUUUAGUGGAGAAUACCCUCGAGAAAUCGAGGUUAAUACUGCAUACGUCUCGAAAGAGAGAAAGAUGGCCUCUUUGCUGU